AAUAUGAACUUGCAUUCUAAUGCGAGCACUGUAGAACCCCAUUUUCCUUUGGUCUCCCCCGAUACUCUCACCUGGAUUCUGUGCAUUACCCAUUGGUUUGUAGGCUCUAAAAGAAGGGGAAAAACGAUGGCUUCGACAUUUAAAGCAGAGAAUUUAGGUUUCAUUCAUCUCGUUAAUCCUAAACUUCCAUAUCGGACGCAGUGUGCUACUGGGUCUAGGUUUGCAGGUUCAAACACAAUUCGUUUUGUUUCAGGGAGGAUAUCGGGAAGGCAGGAUUUGCGUUUGAUUGCGGCGCAUACCCACAUCAAAUGUGCUGCUUCAUCUGGAAGGAACCAGCUAGAACUUAGUUUCAGUGAGGACGACAACCGUUCAGAGGCCUUUUGGUCAUCUCUUAUUAAAGAAGCAUUCUGGGGCUUGAGAUCAUUGCUUGUAUUCCUGGUUGAGCAGCCUGGGCAGUUGAAGUAUAUCGAGUGGCCAAGCUUCCAAAGCACGCUCAAGACAGCAACUCUCACCCUUGUUCUUGUGGCGUUGCUUAUUGUUGCGCUAGCAUCUGUUGAUUCAGCACUCUGCUUUCUAUUAGCUUUGCUUCUUCGGAAGUCUGCAUGAUCCUACGCUGCUUCCGAAUACAUACACAUUAGGGGGUUUUCGAGUUAACUAUUCCAGAUGCUGACCAGAAGAUCGAUCAGGGUUGAGUAGCAUCACUGGCAUGUUACAUCAUAGUUGAUAUCAAAAAAGUGUAAUUGGAGUAGCAGGUUGUCAAUAGAAAAGCUUCAGAUUGGCUGUGUCCGAGAGCGAUAUCUGGCUGAUAUCAAAUUGGUUACAAAAAAUAUUGAAAACUCUUCGUGGCUUUCCAUCUAACCUCACAAAACUCUUGAUGUUUUGCGACACAUUUUUGGUGGAACCACAAAUCUUUUAAGCCUAUUUUCACUUCACCACCUAGAGGAGGUUAUGCUGGAUUGUUGGAACAGGGGACCAGAUUACCAUUUGAUCGGAUCCUUGGAUUCCUGGGCUACAAAGCUUCAAGAUUUCAAACUCUGUUACUCAUAGAUUGCAUUAUUUUGUGUCCUGAUUUCCCCAGGCAGGACUUGAAACAUUGCAUUAUUAAAAUAAAUACCUUUGUUCCCACAAUGCGGUUCAAUUGCGUUAUGAACAUUCCUAUUCCAAACCAUAAGAGGCAAGACACCUUGGUUUGCACUUGUUCCAAAGCUGGAAACCUUCACUACAAAACAAGCUUACAGAGGGGUAGGUAGAGUGAACUAUAUCAUGUGGCAGUUAUUUUCUUUACUUGUAUGGUGAAACAACUCCUCCCUGCAAUUCCCACAAUAAAAAUGUAGUUCAUGGAAUCGACAUUGGUAUCGUUUUGCCGGCGACAUCAACAUGACACCGAUAAAUAUAGAUUCGACUCUUCUCCUGAGCAUCCAUCUCUUAGGACAGUCCAUAGCUACCUGGUCAAGCGCCAUGUGUCCAGGCGAAGAUUCAACGCUUUGAAAAAAAGGCACGAUGAACGAGAUGCUAAUUAGACACUAACAAAGGUGUGAAAAACAAGACGUUAAGUACUGUUGGAUCCUCUCCUGGACACAUGGCAUUUGUCCAGGUAACUAUGAGCAAGACUUGGGCGGUGGACACUCUGGAGAGGAGCCGGAUUCAUAUCAUACCGUUUUUUCAACAAAAAGAAAAAUAGUAUCACAUGGGUUUUAGUUCCCACAAUAGAUUCCAAAUUUCUGAUCCAUCAUUUGCGUUCAGACUUGAGACAUGGCCGUAAAACCUGUGAAUAUCUUUAACAUAUAAAGAUCCAAAUCCAAUGUUUAUUUAUUUGCAAAACUCAUAAAAAUGCUCCAUAAGAGAAUAUGUCCAUGGACUGGACGACAAAGAUCAUCCAAUCAGAUAUUGCUUUUACAGUGCCUUUAGAUGUCAGUCUCUUUCAUGAAACCUCACAUGGUGUCAUGCUCUGUUGGUAAGGAUUCUUGAAGUUGCAGCCCUGCCUGCGUAUUUCUCAUUGUAAUUCGUAUAUUAUGUCAAAAGUAGAACUCUUACUGUCAUUAUUUACACAGCAACAUUGAAAUGAACGACGGCUACUAAAAGCAGAGCAGAGAAGGCAAUCUUCUGGUCUCUCAUUUCCUUUGCCCUCUCUUCUUUGAGCUUUUUCCCUCUUUUCUUGCUUUGGCGAACUCUACCCAUUUGAAAAGAGAACCUAACCUGUUCUUAAAGCAAUAAAAGGGAAAAAGCUGUGUCAUAGAGAAAUAGGUACAAAGCAAUAAAGAAAGGAAAAGGUUUGGCAUUGUGGGAAUCUUUCUCGUUUUCCAGAGUAUUGCUGAUCCCACAGCACCCUCUUUCUCUCUGUUCCUGGUGCUGUGCCUACUUUUCAUGCUCUUCUCCUCCUCCCCCCCCCCCCCCCCCCUUCUCUUUUUCUUCCGUCUUUUUCACACACAUUCACGUCCCUCCUCUCUCUACCUUGUCUCCCUCAUUCUCAGGCUCUAUGCGUGUGUAACUUACUGAGACUGGUCAUGGUUUUGGCUUAAGCUAAUGUCCAUUUCUCGAUGGGUUUUUCAUGUGGAGAUGGAUAUGAUACCCGAGAAGCCAAAGUUCCACUGAGGCCUGAGAUUGAAGAGGCAGGGGCUCAAGAAGGUGUAAGCAUGCAGGGUGGUCAUGGAUUAGAACUGGAUCUAGAGUUCAAGCCCAUAGAGCAUCCAGUGGAGCCACCUGAUGAGGACAGGCCCGUCAAAUGCCCAAUUCCUGGCUCUUCAGUGCCAAAUGAUGUACAAAUGCGGGAGGAACCGCUUGCCGAAAGCUUGAGGAAGAGAGGAGAACUAUCAUCAGAUAUGAACGAGGAAGGGAUGUUGGUGGUGGCUAUUGAGCCUCCAGCUCAAGCAGUGCGUAAGAGGCAUCAUACUCUCACUCGCAACCAUUCAAUACCACCCCUAUUCAAGAGGGCUCCUCUUCCCCCUUUACCAUCUCAGAAUAGUACAAUCUUCCAAAUGCUUCAACAAUGCGAUGAGUAUGAACCCGGACAAGAUAUACAAUAUUAGAUGAUUAUAACUUCUGCAGUUUGGUGUGUACCACCCAUUACAGAUUAGUUAGUAUUCAAUAUCCCAAAGUUCCACAUAGCUUCUAUAGAUAGAGAUAAAUCCCAGUUUUAAAUUUUCAGUCUGCUAGUAGGAAGGACUUGAAGUUAAUGUCUGUGGGGAUAGGUAUUUUUUAGGGUAUCUGGAAACCAUUAUAUAGCUCAAUGUAAAGGUAUUUGAUUACUUUAUACCUUGAUGUGCUGGGUAAUCAAACAUGAAACCUCAUCAGGAUACCUUUUGCUUU
Molecule: RNA transcript, 3306 nt
Organism: Macadamia integrifolia
Lineage: Eukaryota; Viridiplantae; Streptophyta; Magnoliopsida; Proteales; Proteaceae
Exons: 7
Source: RefSeq, a predicted model, not a curated record